This 220-nucleotide long non-coding RNA is filed under the name Panax ginseng (ginseng). Its description in RNAcentral is "long non-coding RNA (PGIN_LNC010413)". Lineage: Eukaryota; Viridiplantae; Streptophyta; Magnoliopsida; Apiales; Araliaceae. The record is from RNAcentral.
UCACAAUUAACCUUGCUAAUAAAGCAAUUAGGGUUUAUAAUAUCGAUAAUUAGGGUUUCCAUAAUAUAAUUAGGGUUUCUAGAAAUUAAAUUAGGGUUCUAGGUUUUAGGGUUUUAAUUUACUAAUUAAAUUUAUUUUAAUUAGCAAUUAAAGUCUAUCACGCGUGUUAUUUAUCACUGUAACACAAUUCUUGACAGAUCAAACCUCCGGUUUAGGUUUC